UUUGUGUCUUAAUAGAUAACCUUUAAUUUCCUUAGGGCUUAAUUUAUGACAGGAUGACACAGACAGGUAUAUACAUAAUCAGAUUUAUGAAUAAUUUUACCUUUCUAAACACUGAAUACAUUCCUUAUGAGUUAUGUUGAUGAAAGUAAAUUUUUGGUUUCUCAAUGAUCCAAUCUAUGUAUUACCAUGUGAUUAUUCCUUUUAAUCUAAUACUUGUGGAGAUUUUAUGUAAUCUAAUACUUAACGGACAUUUCAUGUAAGGCAUCUGGAACAAAUCAUUCUACAGUAUUUAGGUUGUUUAGGAAAACUGUAACUAGUUUAAAAAAAACUAUAACAUAGUAUGAUUGGGGGGGGUAUAGGAUGUUAUCCAUGUGAUUUUACCUCUGGAUGUAUCUCACAUUCAUUUAUUUUUAUUUUUUUAUUAUUAUUUUUUGAGACGGAGUCUUGCUCUGUCAUCCAAGCUGGAGUGCAGUGGCAUGAUCUCGGCUCACUGCAACCUCUGCCUCCCAGGUUCAAGCAAUUCUCCCUGCCUCAACCUCCUGAGUAGCUGGGAUAACAGGUGCCCGCCACCACACCCAGCGAAUUUUUGUAUUUUUAGUUGAGAUGGGGUUUGGCCAUGUUGGCCAGGCUGUUCUUGAACUCCUGACCUCAGGUGAUCUGCCCACCUAGGCCUCCCAAAGUGCUGGGAUUAUAGGCGUGAGCCACCGUGCCUGGCCUCAUAUUUAAAUAUGGAGGUGGUUACUGGGACUAUACCUUACCUGUCUUAUCACAUGUCUCUCCACUACUUAUUAAAAUUAAGAAUGUUAAUCUUCUCCCUUUAAUUCCUUUAUCAGUAAGGGCUUAUUGAAUAUUUGCUGUGUACACAGAAUGGUUCCUUUCACUUAAUAAACUUAGAGACUAGUUGAAGAGAUAAAACUUGCACAAAUGAAACAAAGUGGUAAAAUGCAUUUUUAAAAGAUCAUAAACAAGAAGGGGAUUUUUAUUUUUAUGCAGAAGAAAUAUUUUUUAAAAGAAUUUUGUUUACGCCAGGUGCAGUGCCUCACACCCGUAAUCCCAGCACUUUAGAGGCCAAAGUGGGUAGAUUGCUUGAGCCCAGGAGUUCGAGACCAGCCUGGGCCACGUGGUGAAACCCUGUCUCUACAAAAAGUACAAGAAUUCACUGGGCAUGAUGGCACCUGUAGUCCCAGCUGGGAGGGACUACUUGGGAGGCUGAGGUGGG
Molecule: long non-coding RNA, 1219 nt
Filed under: Homo sapiens (human)
Lineage: Eukaryota; Metazoa; Chordata; Mammalia; Primates; Hominidae
Description: HSALNT0052087
Source: RNAcentral